Molecule: ribosomal RNA, 467 nt
Filed under: uncultured bacterium
Lineage: Bacteria
Description: partial 16S ribosomal RNA
Rfam family: Bacterial small subunit ribosomal RNA
Source: RNAcentral
GACGAACGCUGGCGGCGUGCUUAACACAUGCAAGUCGAACGGAAAGGCCUCUUUCGGGGGGUACUCGAGGGGCGAACGGGGGAGUAACACGUGAGUAACCUGCCCUUGACUUUGGGAUAACUUCAGGAAACUGGGGCUAAUACCGGAAAGGAGCUCCUGCUGCAGGGGGGGGGUUGGAAGGUUUCGGCGGUUGGGGUUGGACUCGUGGCUUAUCAGCUUGUUGGUGGGGUAGUGGCUUACCAAGGCUUUGACGGGUAGCCGGCCUGAGAGGGUGACCGGCCACAUUGGGACUGAGAUACGGCCCAGACUCCUACGGGAGGCAGCAGUGGGGAAUAUUGCACAAUGGGUGGAAGCCUGAUGCAGCAACGCCGUGUGCGGGAUGACGGCCUUCGGGUUGUAAACCGCUUUCGCUCAUGACGAAGCUUUGUGUGACGGUAGUGGGUAAAGAAGCACCGGCUAACUACGUG